This 201-nucleotide ribosomal RNA is filed under the name Yersinia enterocolitica subsp. palearctica 105.5R(r). Lineage: Bacteria; Pseudomonadati; Pseudomonadota; Gammaproteobacteria; Enterobacterales; Yersiniaceae. The record is from RNAcentral.
GAUUUUCAGCGAAGUUCCGAGAUUGGAUUGGCUGGCUGCACAGAAAGAGCGUGUAGCGGGUUGAUUGAAACAGAAUUUGCCUGGCGGCCAUAGCGCGGUGGACCCACCUGAAUCCAUGCCGAACUCAGAAGUGAAACGCCGUAGCGCCGAUGGUAGUGUGGGGUCUCCCCAUGCGAGAGUAGGACACUGCCAGGCAUCAAA